Molecule: small nucleolar RNA, 100 nt
Organism: Arabidopsis lyrata subsp. lyrata
Lineage: Eukaryota; Viridiplantae; Streptophyta; Magnoliopsida; Brassicales; Brassicaceae
Rfam family: Small nucleolar RNA snoR31
Source: Rfam
UUGAUAAUGAUGAAGCAAAAUUAAUCUAAUCCAACACUUGAUCUGAGAGAUACUUUGUGUAUCUCAAAGUGAAGUUACACCAGUUAGCUUCUGAAUCUAA